AAUUAAUUAAUUAAUUAAUUUUGUUUAUCUUCUUCUGGGAUUUGUAAGGAGUUGGAGGAGGGUACGAUCAUAUCUUGUAGAAGGCCAUGGUCUUGGAAAGAAUCAGAAUUAGAACAAGUUAUUCCAUCAAUACGACGACGUUCAUCACCACCAAAACUAUGAAACACGGGAUCAAACACUCGGCCGCACGUGACAACGUCCACAGGCGGCGCCGGAGCGUACGUAUAUUGCUGAUGGUGGUUUCGGAAUAAUUGCGGCUGUGGGAAAACAAGCGGCGGUUGGGGUGAGGCGAAGGCAGCGGCGCCGGCUGAUGUAGCUCCACGUGGCAUGAUUGGACUUUGAUGAGUGUGUUGGCCUUCGUAAGUGGUGACGACGACGGAAGGGUCGUCCGAGGAUCGUUCGACUCGUUUUUUGACGCCGCAGCCGGCGGUGGUGCAACGGUAAUAACUUCUUGGAUAAGGGCUGUUUUUAACGGCUUUUUGACCGUAUUUUCGCCAUCUGUAACCGUCGUCUAGAUGAUCCACUUCGCUCUUUGUCAUGAACGCAAAUCUCGGUUCUCUUCCCCUUUUUUGAUUUUUCUUUUUUGCUUUCAACUGUUUGUUGAAAGGCGAUUUAUCCCGAUCGGCAUCAUCGGCGUCGAGAAGGCGUUCGGUGGAGGAGCAAGAGACGGAGGAGGAGUUAGGAGUGGGAGGAGUAUUGAGGACUUCGGAUGACUCAGGCACGGCGGAGGAGGAGGG
RNAcentral lists this unclassified non-coding RNA (737 nucleotides) under Hevea brasiliensis (rubber tree). The record is from RNAcentral. Lineage: Eukaryota; Viridiplantae; Streptophyta; Magnoliopsida; Malpighiales; Euphorbiaceae.